Molecule: ribosomal RNA, 700 nt
Filed under: uncultured bacterium
Lineage: Bacteria
Description: bacterial SSU rRNA
Rfam family: Bacterial small subunit ribosomal RNA
Source: RNAcentral
AGAGUUUGAUCCUGGCUCAGAAUGAACGCUGGCGGCAUGCCUAACACAUGCAAGUCGAACGAGACCUUCGGGUCUAGUGGCGCACGGGUGCGUAACGCGUGGGAAUCUGCCCUUGGGUUCGGAAUAACAGUGAGAAAUUACUGCUAAUACCGAAUGAUGACGUAAGUCCAAAGAUUUAUCGCCCAGGGAUGAGCCCGCGUAGGAUUAGCUAGUUGGUGAGGUAAAAGCUCACCAAGGCGACGAUCCUUAGCUGGUCUGAGAGGAUGAUCAGCCACACUGGGACUGAGACACGGCCCAGACUCCUACGGGAGGCAGCAGUGGGGAAUAUUGGACAAUGGGCGAAAGCCUGAUCCAGCAAUGCCGCGUGAGUGAUGAAGGCCUUAGGGUUGUAAAGCUCUUUUACCCGGGAUGAUAAUGACAGUACCGGGAGAAUAAGCUCCGGCUAACUCCGUGCCAGCAGCCGCGGUAAUACGGAGGGAGCUAGCGUUAUUCGGAAUUACUGGGCGUAAAGCGCACGUAGGCGGCUUUGUAAGUUAGAGGUGAAAGCCUGGAGCUCAACUCCAGAACUGCCUUUAAGACUGCAUCGCUUGAAUCCAGGAGAGGUGAGUGGAAUUCCGAGUGUAGAGGUGAAAUUCGUAGAUAUUCGGAAGAACACCAGUGGCGAAGGCGGCUCACUGGACUGGUAUUGACGCUGAGGUGC